This 257-nucleotide ribosomal RNA is filed under the name uncultured bacterium. RNAcentral's name for it is "partial 16S ribosomal RNA". It matches the Rfam family "Bacterial small subunit ribosomal RNA", at positions 524 to 776 of the family's 1533-position model. The record is from RNAcentral.
GACGAACCGUGCGAACGUUGUUCGGAAUCACUGGGCUUAAAGGGCGCGUAGGCGGGGCCGCAAGUCCGGGGUGAAAGUGAAAGUCGCCAAAAAGUGGCGGAAUGCUCUCGAAACCAAUUCACUUGAGUGAGACAGAGGAGAGUGGAAUUUCGUGUGUAGGGGUGAAAUCCGUAGAUCUACGAAGGAACGCCAAAAGCGAAGGCAGCUCUCUGGGUCCCUACCGACGCUGGGGUGCGAAAGCAUGGGGAGCGAACAGG